Molecule: ribosomal RNA, 465 nt
Filed under: uncultured bacterium
Lineage: Bacteria
Description: partial 16S ribosomal RNA
Rfam family: Bacterial small subunit ribosomal RNA
Source: RNAcentral
GACGAACGCUGGCGGCGUGCUUAACACAUGCAAGUCGAACGGAAAGGCCCCUUUGGGGGUACUCGAGUGGCGAACGGGUGAGUAACACGUGAGUAACCUGCCCUUGACUUCGGGAUAACUUCAGGAAACUGGGGCUAAUACCGGAUAGGAAUCCUUGCUGCAUGGUGGGGGUUGCAAAGCUUCGGCGGUUUUGGAUGGACUCGCGGCUUAUCAGCUUGUUGGUGGGGUAGUGGCUUACCAAGGCUUUGACGGGUAGCCGGCCUGAGAGGGCGACCGGCCACAUUGGGACUGAGAUACGGCCCAGACUCCUACGGGAGGCAGCAGUGGGGAAUAUUGCACAAUGGGCGGAAGCCUGAUGCAGCAACGCCGCGUGCGGGAUGACGGCCUUCGGGUUGUAAACCGCUUUCAGCAGGGGCGAAGCUUGUGGUGACGGUACCUGCAGAAGAAGCACCGGCUAACUACGUG